Molecule: transfer RNA, 70 nt
Filed under: Staphylinidae sp. BMNH 1274240
Lineage: Eukaryota; Metazoa; Arthropoda; Insecta; Coleoptera; Staphylinidae
Description: tRNA-Val
Source: RNAcentral
CAAAUUAGAGCUUGUUAUAAAGUAUUUUAUUUACAUUAAAAAGUGAGUUGUGAGAAUCAAUUUGAUUUGA